Molecule: long non-coding RNA, 1062 nt
Organism: Oreochromis aureus
Lineage: Eukaryota; Metazoa; Chordata; Actinopteri; Cichliformes; Cichlidae
Source: Ensembl
AAACCGAUACUUCUACCACACACAAGUUAAACUUAACCAGUAGUAAAGAAACGACCCCAGACAACUCUUUAACACAAACGAAACGUUUACUGAACGUAAGGGCAGAGACAAAUACUGUACAACACAUCCCUUUUUUAAACUCAAAUGAUAUUCCAAUUCCUUAACCAAAUGAAAUACACUGUAUAAAUGAAAUAAUUCCCUUUCAAAUUAUAUUAAACAACCCAACUUAUGUUAUCACCUUUUGGUAAGUGACUCACUAAUAUACACUCCAAAACACGUUAUAUAAAUCCACUAAACAUACAAUAUUCACACAUGGGCCCCACACACACUCACAUUCACACUUGUUGCAGGCCUGUUUGUUGCUCACGCCGGACGAUGGAGAAAAAUCCUCUUCUCCCCAGUAAGAGCACAAAAGUCUGACUUACAGUUCCGUUGCUCGGUAGGUCGCCGUGCACCAGUCCCACACUAAAUCCACUCCCUGCGGACCCGAUGCUGUCUCUGCUACAGCACGUUAGCGAGUCACUGUCCAGCUCUCCGACAGUCCAUAGCGGCUGCCUCCUUGGCGAAGCCAAGCAGUCCGGGCUAGCCUUUAGCCUCGGCGGUCGUAGCUGGAAACACAGUUUUCCACGGUGGUGCGACCGUUGAAACAAAAAGUCACUUCACCCACACUCUGUUGUGAAGCUCUCACACGGUCAGCUUUCUAGUCACACACUCUUUUGUGCUGGUUAACCUCAGUAAAACUAGCCGAGUCUCUCACUUUGGUUCAGCUAACCUCGUGCAUCUCCCCAUGCAAGGUCCCGUUUUAUGCUACCUUCACAGGCCUCCAGAAAAUUAGAACUCUGAACAAUAUUUUAACUCCCUUCAGAGUUACAUACCAUAAAAUAAUACUUUUAUGAUUAACAUAACAGUUUGAUUGCUCUAAUUACCUGUAUUUACCUUGCGACAUAUUACAGGGCAAAUUAUAUUCAGGGUAGAGUUACAUCACAUAACAUCAACUGUGAACGCCUUAUGUUACCGUGGCGUUUAAGUCCAUGGGAAUUAUGAGUAUCCACUUCCAAAUUC